Molecule: small RNA, 27 nt
Filed under: Arabidopsis thaliana (thale cress)
Lineage: Eukaryota; Viridiplantae; Streptophyta; Magnoliopsida; Brassicales; Brassicaceae
Description: ATSL117480
Source: RNAcentral
GUUUGUUGCUCUUUUGACUUAACAAUU